GAGGCCUACCAUGGUGGUAACGGGUAACGGGGUGUUAGGGCACGACACCGGAGAGGGAGCCUGAGAAACGGCUACCACAUCCAAGGAUGGCAGCAGGCGCGCAAAUUACCCAAUCCCGACACGGGGAGGUAGUGACAAUAAAUAACAAUACGGGGUUCUUUAGGAUCUCGUAAUUGGAAUGAGUACAAUUUAAAUCUCUUAACGAGGAACAAUUGGAGGGCAAGUCUGGUGCCAGCAGCCGCGGUAAUUCCAGCUCCAAUAGCGUAUAUUAAAGUUGUUGCAGUUAAAAAGCUCGUAGUUGAAUUUCGGGGUUAGUAGGUUGGUCAUGCCUCUGGUAUGUACUGGUCUCACUGAUUCCUCCUUCCUUAUGAACCGUAAUGCCAUUAAUUUGGUGUUGCGGGGAAUUUGGACUGUUACUUUGAAAAAAUUAGAGUGUUUAAAGCAAGCUAACGCUUGAAUACAUUAGCAUGGAAUAAUGAAAUAGGACGUUCGAUCUUAUUUUGUUGGUUUCUAGGAUUGACGUAAUGAUUAAUAGGGAUAGUUGGGGGCAUUAGUAUUCAAUUGUCAGAGGUGAAAUUCUUGGAUUUAUUGAAGACUAACUACUGCGAAAGCAUUUGCCAAGGAUGUUCUCAUUAAUCAAGAACGAAAGUUAGGGGAUCGAAGACGAUCAGAUACCGUCGUAGUCUUAACCAUAAACUAUGCCGACUAGGGAUCGGAUG
This 719-nucleotide ribosomal RNA is filed under the name uncultured fungus. RNAcentral's name for it is "SSU rRNA". It matches the Rfam family "Eukaryotic small subunit ribosomal RNA", at positions 336 to 1059 of the family's 1831-position model. The record is from RNAcentral. Lineage: Eukaryota; Fungi.